UAGGUUGUGGCUCAGUGGUAGAGUGUUCACCUAGCAGGUGUGGGGCCCUGGGUUUGAUACUCAGCACCUUAU
Molecule: transfer RNA, 72 nt
Filed under: Ictidomys tridecemlineatus (thirteen-lined ground squirrel)
Lineage: Eukaryota; Metazoa; Chordata; Mammalia; Rodentia; Sciuridae
Description: Spermophilus tridecemlineatus (thirteen-lined ground squirrel) tRNA
Rfam family: tRNA
About the family: Transfer RNA (tRNA) molecules are approximately 80 nucleotides in length. Their secondary structure includes four short double-helical elements and three loops (D, anti-codon, and T loops).
Source: Rfam by way of RNAcentral